This 331-nucleotide ribosomal RNA is filed under the name uncultured eukaryote. Its description in RNAcentral is "partial 18S ribosomal RNA". It matches the Rfam family "Eukaryotic small subunit ribosomal RNA", at positions 1470 to 1796 of the family's 1831-position model. The record is from RNAcentral.
CCCUUAGAUGUUCUGGGCCGCACGCGCGCUACACUGACGAAGUCAGCGAGCAUGUCCUACGCCGACAGGUGCGGGGAAUCUUGUCAAACUUCGUCGUGAUGGGGAUUGAUUAUUGAAAUUCUUGAUCAUCAACGAGGAAUUCCUAGUAAGCGCAAGUCAGCAGCUUGCGUUGAUUACGUCCCUGCCCUUUGUACACACCGCCCGUCUCUACUACCGAUUGAAUGGUUUAGUGAGAUCUUCGGAUUGGCGCCACUGCGGCUCAGCAAUGGGCUCGGUGGAUGCCGAAAAGUUGAUCAAACUUGAUCAUUUAGAGGAAGUAAAAGUCGUAACA